GAAGCUCUCCUCGCGGGGCGGGCCGGCCGGCCGCACCCCCGGCCUGGGGCCUCCGGUCGUAGUAAAGCGCAGGCGGGCGGGGAGGCGGGAGCAGGAGCCCGCGGCCGGCCAGCCGAAGAUGGUGGCGGCUACUCCUCCUGUCAUACACGUGGACCUAACUGCACCAGUAGCUUUUCUGAGAAUACUUGCUGAAAAGGAAGUUUUCUGGAAUGGGUAAGUGUAUUCUGAUUUUCUUGAACUUUUCUUAAAAACAAAUUUUUCUUGCUAUUAAAGUUGAAUAAAUAGGAUUGGUUUCUUAGAGAGUAAAAGUAGGUGUUUCUUUCUUUAGACAAUGUACCUUUUCUGAAAAACUAACUCAUUAAGUACGGAUUUGCUAAUUUUAAGGUAGUAAAAUUACAGUGUAAAUAUUCCUGUACAUUUUUGGAAACUGGCUUAUGCAGUUUACGAAAUAUAAUUUUAGACCCUCUUUUAAGUUGGGUGAUAAAGUAGAUAUAACCUGAGAUGAUAGAUUUAAACAGGAUAUUUACGUUCUGCUACAAUUGACUGAUAACACUUGAAGUGUAGUCUGAACAGUAAUUUUGUUAAUCAUUUCAACAAGUAUUUGCUAAGUGGAAGCCAGAAGAGGAGGAAAAUGUUUUGCCACGUGGAUGUGAAGAUUUCCUCUAAAAGGUACACAUGGACUAAAUUGCCUUUAAAUGUUCCAAAAUUAGUUCUCAUUUAUUUGCAGUCUCAUUUUGUUUUGUUUUUUUUCUCUAUGUGUCAAUCCAUUUGGGAGAGGCCAGCCAUUGGAAGAGCCACCACUUCCAGUGCUAGUUGGAUGGUUGGUUAUGAUUGCCUUCUGUAAAGAAUUCUUAAGGCAUAAAUACGUGUCUAAAUGGACCUCAUAUCUUUGAGAUAAUUAAACUAAUUUUUUCUUCCCCAUUAGGGAUUAUGCUGAAUUUGUAUGGUUUAUAGUUGUUAGAGUUUGAGGUGUUAAUUCUAAUUAUCUAUUUCAAAUUUAGCAGGAAAAAAGAGAACAUCACCUUGUAAAACUGAAGAUUGUGACCAGUCAGAAUAAUGUCAAAGUGCUUACAGUGCAGGUAGUGAUAUGUGCAUCUACUGCAGUGAAGGCACUUGUAGCAUUAUGGUGACAGCUGCCUCGGGAAGCCAAGUUGGGCUUUAAAGUGCAGGGCCUGCUGAUGUUGAGUGCUUUUUGUUCUAAGGUGCAUCUAGUGCAGAUAGUGAAGUAGAUUAGCAUCUACUGCCCUAAGUGCUCCUUCUGGCAUAAGAAGUUAUGUAUUCAUCCAAUAAUUCAAGCCAAGCAAGUAUAUAGGUGUUUUAAUAGUUUUUGUUUGCAGUCCUCUGUUAGUUUUGCAUAGUUGCACUACAAGAAGAAUGUAGUUGUGCAAAUCUAUGCAAAACUGAUGGUGGCCUGCUAUUUCCUUCAAAUGAAUGAUUUUUACUAAUUUUGUGUACUUUUAUUGUGUCGAUGUAGAAUCUGCCUGGUCUAUCUGAUGUGACAGCUUCUGUAGCACUAAAGUGCUUAUAGUGCAGGUAGUGUUUAGUUAUCUACUGCAUUAUGAGCACUUAAAGUACUGCUAGCUGUAGAACUCCAGCUUCGGCCUGUCGCCCAAUCAAACUGUCCUGUUACUGAACACUGUUCUAUGGUUAGUUUUGCAGGUUUGCAUCCAGCUGUGUGAUAUUCUGCUGUGCAAAUCCAUGCAAAACUGACUGUGGUAGUGAAAAGUCUGUAGAAAAGUAAGGGAAACUCAAACCCCUUUCUACACAGGUUGGGAUCGGUUGCAAUGCUGUGUUUCUGUAUGGUAUUGCACUUGUCCCGGCCUGUUGAGUUUGGUGGGGAUUGUGACCAGAAGAUUUUGAAAAUUAAAUAUUACUGAAGAUUUCGACUUCCACUGUUAAAUGUACAAGAUACAUGAAAUAUUAAAGAAAAUGUGUAACUUUUUGUGUAAAUACAUCUUGUCUUGUUUUCAUUCAAAAACAUUUCACUUUUGGGGUUGCGUGUCAGAUUUGGCAGUAUAAAUUCUGGCUAUAUUUUUUGUUGUUAGAUUUAUUUGGCUGUUAAGUAUUGCGAUAUGACUAAACAUACUGUAUACCUGAUGAUCAUCUGUAAAGUUAGAGUAUAUCUUUUUGCUUUCUUUGGAGUUAGUGUUAUUCCAGGAUAUUUUACUUAAUCUAAAAGUUAAUUUAUGUUGCUCAUAUAUUACUCAAGUAUUUAAAUUUAGAGAGAAUGCCGCUCUGUUUAAAGCAAUGUGUAAAGAUGAGUUUUUUUAAGCAUGGAAUUUAGGGUUGGGGUACAAUUUGUUUCUAUUAAGCAAGUACCAGUUUACCAAUACAUGAGUAACUGAAGUGUAACUGUUAAAUGCUUGUAUACUAGUUUUUCUUUCUGAUUGUCAGUGAUUUAUAAGCUAUAAAUGACCAAGGUCCUCAGACUGCUUUUAGCAUCUGCAACUUAAAAAAAUGGGAGUUAGAAAAAGAACAAAUGCUAAAUAGAGUAACAGUUAAAUGUAUGUGUACACUCUUCCCAAAUGCCAAGAGUGCAGCGGUGGGGUGAGAUUCAGAUAUUCAUUUAUUUCUAAGUCUGUAGUUAACAUUUAUGUUCCCUACUCCCUACGUAAGCCAGACUUUGGCAACAGUGAUAGUUGAUUCCAGGCUUAUUUGACUUAAAGUCACUGAAGUGGAAACUAAGAAGUGGCAGUUAGUGUUUUACCCAGCAUUUCUGCCUUCUCUCUUUUCUUCAUGUGUUUUUGUCUCUAGCCUAUGUGUAUUUGUGUAGAAUAAUGUGGGAUACCUGAAUAAUAGAUUUAAAAGGACCAAGUGGUAAAAUUGGGCCCAAGCUGAAGUACAGGCAAACUUGAUGUUUGAAAGAUAAGUUUUGAGAAAUGUCAUUGUAUUUUGGAGUAAAAGAGGCUAUCUUAGUAAUAAGAAAUAAACUUCCAUAACACUAGGUUAGACCACCCAAUAAAUCUAGAAAUCAGCUUUUAAAAAUAUUGUCUGAAGUCUAACAAAAGUUUUCACCUCUAAUGUGUUCUUUAAGAAAUUUAAGGAACUUAGCCUUGGAUUCCUGAAUAGAAAGGUAAGAAUUCUAUCAUUCUGGAGUUGAUGAAAACAUAAAUUUUCAGGAUGUGAAAUGAACAGUGAUUUAUAAAAUGGAAAUCAAAUUGUACAUUAGCAGAGUUCUUAAGCUUUUUGAAUUGAAGGAGACCUAAUAAUUGUGUCUUUUUGGUUAUUUAGUGACAAACGUGGCUUUCAAACUAUGCUUAAAAAGUUCCGGCUGGACACGGUGGCUCACACCUAUAAUCCUAGCACUUGGGGAGGCUGAGGCAGACGGAUUACCUGAGGUCAGGAGUUCGAGACCAACCUGGCCGACAUGGUGAAACGCUGUCUCUACUAAAAAUAUAAAAAAUUAGCCGGGUGCAGUGGCGUGCACCUGUAAUCCCAGCUACUCUGGAGGCUGAGGCAGGAGAAUCACCUGAACCUGGGAGGUGGAGGUUUCAGUGAGCUGAGAUCCUGCCACUGCACUCCAGCCUGGGCGCAAGACCAAGACUUAAACGCAAAAAAAAAAAAAAAAAAAAAAAAAAAGUUUCAUAAUACAGCAUGGUCUGGUAGUUUGCAAAAUGGUGUGCUUUUGGGGAGAUACACUAGCAAUUUUUUUAAAAACUGGAACAGUGUGAUAGGAAGCCUGCUGGAUGAUUUCUUAAAUAUUCUAAAAUGUAAGUCAAAUAUGUUUUAAUAACAAAGACUUAAAUGGCUUUUCUCCCUAGAGACUGAAACUAGUAUUCAUUGUGUUCAGAACUUAAUUGGGCUUGAACUGAGAUUUAAAUCUAAUAAACAAGUUAAUAAAUGUGUAUGUUUUGUUGUGGGUUUGGUAGUGAUCUGUGGUUCUAUAGGGUUUAAUAGGAAUUGCUUUUGAUUUGUUUCUGGCUUUAGAAUGUGAGGCAAAUUUUACAUUCUUGGUUCUAUUAAGAUUUUCUUAGGCAUGCUAACAUGCCAACAAAAAGCCAUGUAAGUAUUGUAUAAAAAGAUUCACAUUGUUAAUUUAGCCAUUUUGAAAUUCAGAUGAGUGAGCAAGUUGAUAAUGGCCUCAUCUCUGACCUGAGAAAAAACAACUUUGACCCUUGUUCUUAAAAUGCUUUAACCUUGAAGUUGCUUGAGACUUAAGAGGUCAUGUUGCUUUAGGUUUAAUAAAUAGCCUUAACUAUUUGGAGGGGAAAAAAUGGGUCAACUUUUUUUUUUUUUUUUGGCGUUUGCAUGUACAACUUUCUAUUUUUAGCCUAUAUUUGGAAAGAAAGCACUUAACAUUUUAGGAAUUCUUUUUAAAGCUGCUUGCAAAGUGUUGGUGAUUUUACUGAAAACUUUUGAGAUCUUCAUUUUACAGGCAGACCUGUCUAACUACAAGCCAGACUUGGGUUUUCUCCUGUAGUUUGAAGACACACUGACUCCUGACAAAAUGCAGCCUGCAACUUCCUGGAGAACAACUCAGUGUCACAUUAAAGUUUAUUAUGUAUUUAAUGAUACACUGUUUAAUUGACAGUUUUGCAUAGUUUGUCUAACUUUAGAGAAUUAAGAGCCUCUCAACUGAGCAGUAAAGGUAAGGAGAGCUCAAUCUGCACAGAGCCAGUUUUUAGUGUUUGAUGGAAAUAAGAUCAUCAUGCCCACUUGAGACUUCAGAUUAUUCUUUAGCUUAGUGGUUGUAUGAGUUACAUCUUAUUAAAGUCGAAAUUAAUGUAGUUUUCUGCCUUGAUAACAUUUCAUAUGUGGUAUUAGUUUUAAAGGGUCAUUAGGAAAAUGCACAUAUUCCAUGAAUUUUAAGACCCAUAGAAAAGUUGAAGAAUGCUUAAUUUUCUUAUCCAGUAAUGUAAACACAGAGACAGAACAUUGAGAUGUGCCUAGUUCUGUAUUUACAGUUUGGUCUGGCUGUUUGAGUUCUAGCGCAUUUAAUGUUAAUAAAUAAAAUACUGCAUUUUAAAGCUGUUAAGAAAUUGUCCAGAACGAGAAUAUUGAAAUAAAAACUUCAAGGUUAUUAUCGCAGUUUUUAUGGCGUUUUUGUUUUGUCACUACAGAUGGUCUAAAGGUUACUUAUUAAUUAAUUGGGGAAGUGGAGACAAGGACCAAAGUUUAUCUGGAUUUUCUUAUUUAAUCUUCAUUACCUGUGAAAUAUGUAUUUGUAUUCUUACUUUACAUAUGAGAUCAGAAGUUCAUUUUCAAGCAGAAUGGAAAGGUGGUAAAUGGACUCUGAAUUAAAAUAUGUCAGUAUUUUAAAAGGUUAUCUUCUGCCUAGUAUUUUUAUGGAAUCUGACAAGUUCUCAGAUCACACUUGUUUCCUUAAAUCUUGGUAAGUCUGAAGCAUUCUUCAUUUUGUUUAUAUUAUACACGUUAGUAAGGUGGGAGUUCUUUUGUUUUUUGUGUUUUUUGGCCAGUUGAUAACAUGAAAGUUUAAGAGAGGAGGCCAAAGUAUAUAAAAAGUCUUAAACUCCUGCUUCUAAUAAAUGUCCAAUAUGUGUUGGCUCCUGG
RNAcentral lists this long non-coding RNA (5511 nucleotides) under Homo sapiens (human). RNAcentral describes it as "miR-17-92a-1 cluster host gene". The stretch from base 1640 to 1718 matches the Rfam family "mir-19 microRNA precursor family". Lineage: Eukaryota; Metazoa; Chordata; Mammalia; Primates; Hominidae. The record is from RNAcentral.